Molecule: ribosomal RNA, 851 nt
Filed under: Brevibacterium sp.
Lineage: Bacteria; Bacillati; Actinomycetota; Actinomycetes; Micrococcales; Brevibacteriaceae
Also listed under: 1 other name
Description: bacterial SSU rRNA
Rfam family: Bacterial small subunit ribosomal RNA
Source: RNAcentral
UUAACACAUGCAAGUCGAACGCUGAAGCCUGGUGCUUGCACCGGGUGGAUGAGUGGCGAACGGGUGAGUAACACGUGAGUAACCUGCCCCUGACUUCGGGAUAAGCCCGGGAAACUGGGUCUAAUACCGGAUACGACUGCCGGACGCAUGUCUGGUGGUGGAAAGUUUUUUCGGUUGGGGAUGGGCUCGCGGCCUAUCAGUUUGUUGGUGAGGUAAUGGCUCACCAAGACGACGACGGGUAGCCGGCCUGAGAGGGCGACCGGCCACACUGGGACUGAGACACGGCCCAGACUCCUACGGGAGGCAGCAGUGGGGAAUAUUGCACAAUGGGGGAAACCCUGAUGCAGCGACGCAGCGUGCGGGAUGACGGCCUUCGGGUUGUAAACCGCUUUCAGCAGGGAAGAAGCGCAAGUGACGGUACCUGCAGAAGAAGUACCGGCUAACUACGUGCCAGCAGCCGCGGUAAUACGUAGGGUACGAGCGUUGUCCGGAAUUAUUGGGCGUAAAGAGCUCGUAGGUGGUUGGUCACGUCUGCUGUGGAAACGCAACGCUUAACGUUGCGCGUGCAGUGGGUACGGGCUGACUAGAGUGCAGUAGGGGAGUCUGGAAUUCCUGGUGUAGCGGUGAAAUGCGCAGAUAUCAGGAGGAACACCGGUGGCGAAGGCGGGACUCUGGGCUGUAACUGACACUGAGGAGCGAAAGCAUGGGGAGCGAACAGGAUUAGAUACCCUGGUAGUCCAUGCCGUAAACGUUGGGCACUAGGUGUGGGGGGCAUUCCACGUUCUCCGCGCCGUAGCUAACGCAUUAAGUGCCCCGCCUGGGGAGUACGGUCGCAAGGCUAAAACUCAAAG